RNAcentral lists this long non-coding RNA (319 nucleotides) under Homo sapiens (human). RNAcentral's name for it is "HSALNT0321279". The record is from RNAcentral. Lineage: Eukaryota; Metazoa; Chordata; Mammalia; Primates; Hominidae.
UUUCAUGGGAGAAGCGCUAAACUUUACCUCAACAUUUAUGUAAAGUUAAAGCUGCACAGAAUAAACCAAGGCAAGUCAUGUUCAUCAGAAUCAAUUAUUCAAUUAUUAACCAGUUUUCAGCACUUGCUACUGGGGAUUCUGUAGUGAAGAAAAUAAAGUUCUGGUCUGAUAGAGGAGCCAAUGUUAUCUCUGUUAUGUAAUGAUGAAGUGCUAUGAAUAUAAUAAUAUUCAUUAAUAUGCUAUAUUUCAUAGAUAAUAUAAGUAUACAAAAUUAUAAAUUUGUUUGGCAAAGAACACAAAAUUAUCUUUUUUAUUUACU